RNAcentral lists this ribosomal RNA (484 nucleotides) under uncultured bacterium. Its description in RNAcentral is "partial 16S ribosomal RNA". It matches the Rfam family "Bacterial small subunit ribosomal RNA", at positions 30 to 507 of the family's 1533-position model. The record is from RNAcentral.
AUUGAACGCUGGCGGCAGGCCUAACACAUGCGAGUCGAGCGGAUGAAGGGAGCUUGCUCCUGGAUUCAGCGGCGGACGGGUGAGUAAUGCCUAGGAAUCUGCCUGGUAGUGGGGGAUAACGUCCGGAAACGGGCGCUAAUACCGCAUACGUCCUGAGGGAGAAGGUGGGGGAUCUUCGGACCUCACGCUAUCAGAUGAGCCUAGGUCGGAUUAGCUAGUUGGUGGGGUAAAGGCCUACCAAGGCGACGAUCCGUAACUGGUCUGAGAGGAUGAUCAGUCACACUGGAACUGAGACACGGUCCAGACUCCUACGGGAGGCAGCAGUGGGGAAUAUUGGACAAUGGGCGAAAGCCUGAUCCAGCCAGGCCGCGUGUGUGAAGAAGGUCUUCGGAUUGUAAAGCACUUUAAGUUGGGAGGAAGGGCAGUAAGUUAAUACCUUGCUGUUUUGACGUUACCAACAGAAUAAGCACCGGCUAACUUCGUG